UACGGGGGGAGCAAGCGUUGUUCGGACUUACUGGGCGUAAAGGGCGCGUAGGCGGCCACCGCAAGUCGACUGUGAAAUCUCCGGGCUUAACCCGGAAAGGUCAGCCGAUACUGCGGGGCUAGAGUGCAGAAGGGGCAACUGGAAUUCUCGGUGUAGCGGUGAAAUGCGUAGAUAUCGAGAGGAACACCUGCGGCGAAGGCGACUACCUGGCCUGUUCUUGACGCUGAGGCGCGAAAGCUAGGGGAGCAAACGGG
RNAcentral lists this ribosomal RNA (254 nucleotides) under uncultured bacterium. Its description in RNAcentral is "partial 16S ribosomal RNA". It matches the Rfam family "Bacterial small subunit ribosomal RNA", at positions 524 to 776 of the family's 1533-position model. The record is from RNAcentral.